GUUGCCGUGUCUCGGCUCUCGUGCAGAGUACGAGAGUGACAGGGGAGGAAGGGGUUAGGAGAAUUUAUGCAAUGCCGGAAGAGGUGUGGUUGUGGUGUGGUCCUGCUCCCGAAACUACGCUAGGAAGCUUCAAUUUAUACAAUCACUGCCAGUAAAUAAUAACUU
Long non-coding RNA from Myripristis murdjan (pinecone soldierfish), 165 nucleotides. RefSeq lists it as uncharacterized. The transcript has 3 exons. NCBI's taxonomy places the organism in Eukaryota, Metazoa, Chordata, Actinopteri, Holocentriformes, Holocentridae. The record is from RefSeq and is a predicted model, not a curated record.